CCUUUGCAGCCUACGCAUGCUGACGCAGCUACCCACCUGAACUAUACUGUAUAAUGUCAUGCUCCUUCUUUGAAGGUUGCUUGAAAGGGCAAAAAUAAUUCAAGAUGUUUUAUUCUCAAUGUUGCAAAUGCAACACAGUGAAAAUAUUCCACUGUUUGGCAAAAAAAAAGGUUUCAAAAUUUACAUUAAUCAUGCAUAUAAUAUUUGCCAAAGAAAAAAAGUGUUUUUACAAAGAUGAGGGUACAGUAUAAAGCGAAUGACUUGGUGAAUUAAGUACUCAUCUGUUAUAGCAGGGAUAACACACAGGGCAAUUAGCGUUUAUGUUCACUUAUUACAAGUGUUAAUAAAUGGGACAUACACUCAGGAGAAUGUUGAUUAAAAUCUGGGCUAUGUUAAUAACUGAUUGAGGUUCUCCAAGCCACAAGUCACAGGUGGGACACUUCUGUUUGGCGAUUCACCAUUUGACAUUGUUUCCUUCUCUCGUUGUGUAGCAGUGAUGUUUGAGGCCCGUGGGUCACUUGUCAUCAGAGACAGCUAUUUCGGUCCUCUAUCACAUGCAUGAAACUAAUAUUUGCACCGUGGAUUUUCGAUGUGAGAAAAAAGAUGGUGGCAGAACAUCUUGGGCUUCUCACAGAAUUCGUACAGCUCAGCAGCAGCUUCUCUGAAGGCUCCUGUCACUACAACAAGAGAUAUGUGUAAAAAGCAAGCACCACUGAGACAGGUAACCGCCGAAGACACAGAAAAGGAGGAACAGCAAACACUGUAGAAUCGGCAAAUGAAAUUCGAAAAGAUUGAGACAAAAUUCAAGACUUGGCAAACCUCUGUCACUUUAAGCUUAAACAUUGCAGGGCUUUGCAUGCGAAACUAUAAAUACAAAAUGGGGAAACAUUGAGGUUGAAGAGGGUAUGUAUGAAAAGGA
Molecule: non-coding RNA, 919 nt
Organism: Lepisosteus oculatus (spotted gar)
Lineage: Eukaryota; Metazoa; Chordata; Actinopteri; Semionotiformes; Lepisosteidae
Source: RefSeq, a predicted model, not a curated record